AAAUUGAAGAGUUUGAUCAUGGCUCAGAUUGAACGCUGGCGGCAGGCCUAACACAUGCAAGUCGAGCGGAAACGAGUUGUCUGAACCUUCGGGGGACGAUAACGGCGUCGAGCGGCGGACGGGUGAGUAAUGCCUAGGAAAUUGCCCUGAUGUGGGGGAUAACCAUUGGAAACGAUGGCUAAUACCGCAUGAUGCCUACGGGCCAAAGAGGGG
This 213-nucleotide ribosomal RNA is filed under the name Vibrio parahaemolyticus. Its description in RNAcentral is "partial 16S ribosomal RNA". It matches the Rfam family "Bacterial small subunit ribosomal RNA", at positions 1 to 211 of the family's 1533-position model. Lineage: Bacteria; Pseudomonadati; Pseudomonadota; Gammaproteobacteria; Vibrionales; Vibrionaceae. The record is from RNAcentral.